GUGAAUCAUCGAAUUUUUGAACGCAAAUUGCACUCCCUGGUAUUCCGGGGAGUAUGCCUGUUUGAGGGUCAGUAUAAUUAAAAAUCGAGGCGUCGCUGUUUUGUUACAGAUUGGUCUCGUGGGAUUUUAGACGUUUUACAAAGGUUAAGUGAUGUCAAAGUGACAUAAUAUGCAUCCAUGCGGUACAACUGAAUCUUAUUUAAGAUCUACGUAGAUGAAAAACU
This 224-nucleotide unclassified non-coding RNA is filed under the name Glomeraceae sp. RNAcentral describes it as "partial contains 5.8S ribosomal RNA and internal transcribed spacer 2". The stretch from base 1 to 71 matches the Rfam family "5.8S ribosomal RNA", at positions 84 to 154 of the family's 154-position model. Lineage: Eukaryota; Fungi; Glomeromycota; Glomeromycetes; Glomerales; Glomeraceae. The record is from RNAcentral.